RNAcentral lists this transfer RNA (68 nucleotides) under Pteronotropis hypselopterus (sailfin shiner). RNAcentral describes it as "tRNA-Cys". The record is from RNAcentral. Lineage: Eukaryota; Metazoa; Chordata; Actinopteri; Cypriniformes; Leuciscidae.
AGCCCCGUAGUGAGUACCCACGUUGGAGUGCAAAUCCAGAAACGCAGAAUAAUAUCCUGCCGGGGCUU